UCACUUUCAACAACGGAUCUCUUGGCUCUCGCAUCGAUGAAGAACGUAGCGAGGUGCGAUAGGUAAUGUGAAUUGCAGUAUUCCGUGAAUCAUCGAAUCUUUGAACGCAUAUUGCACUUUCUGGUAUUCCGGAAAGUAUGCCUGUUUGAGGGUCAGUU
This 158-nucleotide ribosomal RNA is filed under the name uncultured Glomus. RNAcentral describes it as "5.8S ribosomal RNA". It matches the Rfam family "5.8S ribosomal RNA". From Rfam's summary of the family: 5.8S ribosomal RNA (5.8S rRNA) is a component of the large subunit of the eukaryotic ribosome. The record is from RNAcentral. Lineage: Eukaryota; Fungi; Glomeromycota; Glomeromycetes; Glomerales; Glomeraceae.